RNAcentral lists this long non-coding RNA (256 nucleotides) under Elaeis guineensis (African oil palm). RNAcentral's name for it is "long non-coding RNA (EGUI_LNC072452)". The record is from RNAcentral. Lineage: Eukaryota; Viridiplantae; Streptophyta; Magnoliopsida; Arecales; Arecaceae.
UCAUCAUAAUAACUUUAAAUAAUUAUUAGCGAUGAUGAUUUUGUUAUUAGAGACAGCAAGGUCGUUGCUAAUUAAAUUAUUAUUAGUGACGUCAUUAGCGAUAAAAUAUUACUAUUGCUAAUAAUUAAGCCCUAAUAACCCUCUCAGAUCACCGACGGGCUUACAGAAACCCUCCCCUUGAUCCCCCACCGGUUCCCUUUCUCUAGUCACCUCUCUCUCUCUCCACACCAUCGGAGUCCCUGGCCUCCUUCCCCCA